UACGGAGGGGGCUAGCGUUGUUCGGAAUUACUGGGCGUAAAGCGCGCGUAGGCGGACCUGCAAGUCGGGGGUGAAAGCCCGAGGCUCAACCUCGGAACUGCCUUCGAUACUGCGGGUCUCGAGUCCGGGAGAGGUGAGUGGAAUUCCGUAGUGUAGAGGUGAAAUUCGUAGAUAUUAGGAAGAACACCAGUGGCGAAGGCGGCUCACUGGCCCGGUACUGACGCUGAGGCGCGAAGGUCAGGGGAGCAAACGGG
This 254-nucleotide ribosomal RNA is filed under the name uncultured bacterium. RNAcentral describes it as "partial 16S ribosomal RNA". It matches the Rfam family "Bacterial small subunit ribosomal RNA", at positions 524 to 776 of the family's 1533-position model. The record is from RNAcentral.